This 424-nucleotide ribosomal RNA is filed under the name uncultured bacterium. Its description in RNAcentral is "bacterial SSU rRNA". It matches the Rfam family "Bacterial small subunit ribosomal RNA", at positions 355 to 776 of the family's 1533-position model. The record is from RNAcentral.
UGAGGAAUAUUGGUCAAUGGAAGGAAUUCUGAACCAGCCAUGCCGCGUGCAGGAUGACGGCUCUAUGAGUUGUAAACUGCUUUUGUACGAGGGUAACCACAGGUACGUGUACCUGUCUGAAAGUAUCGUACGAAUAAGGGUCGGCUAACUCCGUGCCAGCAGCCGCGGUAAUACGGAGGACCCGAGCGUUAUCCGGAUUUAUUGGGUUUAAAGGGUGCGUAGGCUGUUAUAUAAGUUAGAGGUGAAAUUCCACAGCUUAACUGUGGCGCUGCCUCUAAUACUGUAUGACUUGAGAUUGGUUGCAGCUGGCGGAAUGUGUGGUGUAGCGGUGAAAUGCAUAGAUAUCACACAGAACACCGAUUGCGAAGGCAGCUAGCUAAGCCAUAUCUGACGCUGAGGCACGAAAGCGUGGGGAGCAAACAGG